This 291-nucleotide non-coding RNA is filed under the name Onchocerca ochengi. RNAcentral describes it as "Eukaryotic large subunit ribosomal RNA". It matches the Rfam family "Eukaryotic large subunit ribosomal RNA", at positions 962 to 1245 of the family's 3401-position model. Lineage: Eukaryota; Metazoa; Nematoda; Chromadorea; Rhabditida; Onchocercidae. The record is from Rfam by way of RNAcentral.
UUUGAAGUUUCCCUCAAAAUAACUGGAAAACGUAAUGAAGCUGUUAUAUUCGGUAAAGCGAAUGAUUAGCGGAAUUGUGGGACGAAACGACUUCAACCUAUUCUCAAACUUUCAAUGAGUAUGACGUCUUGCUUGCUUGAAUGAAGCGUAAAGAUUGAAUGUGUGCUUCACGUACGCCAUUUUUGAUAAGCAGAAUUGACGUUGUGGGAUGAACCAGACGUUGAGUUAAAGUGCAAAUCGAACUAACCAGUCAUAUCAUUGAUGGUGAUGGUUUUUCAUCACAAAGCAAGA